CGCACAUUGCGCCCCUUGGUAUUCCAUGGGGCAUGCCUGUUCGAGCGUCAUUUGUACCCUCAAGCUUUGCUUGGUGUUGGGCGUUUGUCCUGUAUGGGACUCGCCUUAAAGUAAUUGGCAGCCGGCGUAUUGGCCUUGGAGCGCAGCACAAUUUGCGCUUUCAGUCAGUAUAUGUUGGCGUCCAUAAGACCUUUAUCACUUUUGACCUCGGAUCAGGUAGGGAUACCCGCUGAACUUAA
Molecule: unclassified non-coding RNA, 239 nt
Filed under: Ascomycota sp.
Lineage: Eukaryota; Fungi; Ascomycota
Description: partial contains 5.8S ribosomal RNA, internal transcribed spacer 2, and large subunit ribosomal RNA
Source: RNAcentral